CCUUUGGAGCAACAUACAAACUGGAGUAAUCUUAUGAUAAAACAGGUUGCAUUGAAUAAGGAA
Clostridium sp. BL8 is the source of this 63-nucleotide non-coding RNA. Lineage: Bacteria; Bacillati; Bacillota; Clostridia; Eubacteriales; Clostridiaceae. The record is from Rfam.